RNAcentral lists this transfer RNA (73 nucleotides) under Loxodonta africana (African savanna elephant). It matches the Rfam family "tRNA". Rfam says of the family: Transfer RNA (tRNA) molecules are approximately 80 nucleotides in length. Their secondary structure includes four short double-helical elements and three loops (D, anti-codon, and T loops). Lineage: Eukaryota; Metazoa; Chordata; Mammalia; Proboscidea; Elephantidae. The record is from Rfam by way of RNAcentral.
CCUUGGAUGGUGGAAAUGGUUAACAUGCUUGCCUGCUAACCAAGAGGUUGGGGGUUCGAGCCUACUCAGAAGG